UAGAUCUACAGGGCUCUUUCAGUAUGGCA
This 29-nucleotide non-coding RNA is filed under the name Mus musculus (house mouse). The record is from RNAcentral. Lineage: Eukaryota; Metazoa; Chordata; Mammalia; Rodentia; Muridae.